GGCUGGUCCAAAGGUGGUGAGUUAUCUCAAUUGGUUGUUCACAUUCAGUUACAGACCACACUCUUUAUUCUACUCUUUCCUCCUUUCUGACUUUACUAGUCGAAA
Molecule: unclassified non-coding RNA, 105 nt
Organism: Cercocebus atys (sooty mangabey)
Lineage: Eukaryota; Metazoa; Chordata; Mammalia; Primates; Cercopithecidae
Rfam family: Y RNA
About the family: Y RNAs are components of the Ro ribonucleoprotein particle (Ro RNP), in association with Ro60 and La proteins. The Y RNAs and Ro60 and La proteins are well conserved, but the function of the Ro RNP is not known. In humans the RNA component can be one of four small RNAs -- hY1, hY3, hY4 and hY5.
Source: Ensembl